RNAcentral lists this transfer RNA (95 nucleotides) under Candidatus Caldarchaeum subterraneum. Its description in RNAcentral is "Candidatus Caldiarchaeum subterraneum (hot springs metagenome) tRNA-Arg". It matches the Rfam family "tRNA". Rfam says of the family: Transfer RNA (tRNA) molecules are approximately 80 nucleotides in length. Their secondary structure includes four short double-helical elements and three loops (D, anti-codon, and T loops). The record is from RNAcentral. Lineage: Archaea; Thermoproteati; Nitrososphaerota; Candidatus Caldarchaeales; Candidatus Caldarchaeaceae.
GGGCCCGUCGCUCAGAAUGGAUAGAGAGGUUGACCUAACCCUAGAACGCCGGCCUUCGGAGCCGGAGGCCGUGGGUUCAAGUCCCACCGGGCCCG